GAUGAAGAACGCAGCGAAAUGCGAUAAGUAAUGUGAAUUGCAGAAUUCAGUGAAUCAUCGAAUCUUUGAACGCACAUUGCGCCCGCCAGUAUUCUGGCGGGCAUGCCUGUUCGAGCGUCAUUUCAACCCUCAAGACCCCUUCGGGGGACUUGGUGUUGGGGACCGGCACAGGGCCUGCUUGCUUGUCUCGCAGCGCCUCGCCGCCUCCGAAAUGAAUUGGCGGCCUCGGCGCGGCCUCCUCUGCGUAGUAGCACAACCUCGCAACGGGAGCGUGACGCGGCCACUGCCGUAAAACAACCCAAUUUUAUUAGAGUUGACCUCGAAUCAGGUAGGAAUACCCGCUGAACUUAAGCAUAUCAAUAAGCGGAGGA
This 371-nucleotide unclassified non-coding RNA is filed under the name soil metagenome. Its description in RNAcentral is "partial contains 5.8S ribosomal RNA, internal transcribed spacer 2, and large subunit ribosomal RNA". The stretch from base 1 to 120 matches the Rfam family "5.8S ribosomal RNA", at positions 35 to 154 of the family's 154-position model. The record is from RNAcentral.